Molecule: transfer RNA, 69 nt
Filed under: Pygoscelis papua (Gentoo penguin)
Lineage: Eukaryota; Metazoa; Chordata; Aves; Sphenisciformes; Spheniscidae
Description: tRNA-Phe
Rfam family: tRNA
About the family: Transfer RNA (tRNA) molecules are approximately 80 nucleotides in length. Their secondary structure includes four short double-helical elements and three loops (D, anti-codon, and T loops).
Source: RNAcentral
GUCCUUGUAGCUUAUAACCAAAGCAUGGCACUGAAGAUGCCAAGAUGAUGCUGCAUGCACCCAAGGACA